Molecule: ribosomal RNA, 460 nt
Filed under: uncultured bacterium
Lineage: Bacteria
Description: partial 16S ribosomal RNA
Rfam family: Bacterial small subunit ribosomal RNA
Source: RNAcentral
CCUACGGGAGGCAGCAGUGAGGAAUAUUGGUCAAUGGGCGCAAGCCUGAACCAGCCAAGUCGCGUGAGGGAUGACGGUCCUAUGGAUUGUAAACCUCUUUUGUCGGGGAGCAAGGCCCGCCACGUGUGGCGGGAAGGAGAGUACCCGAAGAAAAAGCAUCGGCUAACUCCGUGCCAGCAGCAGCGGUAAUACGGAGGAUGCGAGCGUUAUCCGGAUUUAUUGGGUUUAAAGGGUGAGUAGGCGGAAGGUUAAGUCAGCGGUAAAAUGUCGGUGCUCAACACCGGCCUGCCGUUGAAACUGGUCUUCUUGAGUGAGCGAGAAGUAUGCGGAAUGCGUGGUGUAGCGGUGAAAUGCAUAGAUAUCACGCAGAACUCCGAUUGCGAAGGCAGCAUACCGGCGCUCAACUGACGCUGAGGCACGAAAGCGUGGGGAUCGAACAGGAUUAGAUACCCCUGUAGUC